RNAcentral lists this ribosomal RNA (497 nucleotides) under uncultured bacterium. RNAcentral describes it as "partial 16S ribosomal RNA". It matches the Rfam family "Bacterial small subunit ribosomal RNA", at positions 28 to 507 of the family's 1533-position model. The record is from RNAcentral.
GAUGAACGCUGGCGGCGUGCCUAAUACAUGCAAGUCGAGCGAACGGACGAGAAGCUUGCUUCUCUGAUGUUAGCGGCGGACGGGUGAGUAACGCGUGGAUAACCUACCUAUAAGACUGGGAUAACUUCGGGAAACCGGAGCUAAUACCGGAUAAUAUUUUGAACCGCAUGGUUCAAAAGUGAAAGACAGUCUUGCUGUCACUUAUAGAUGGAUCCGCGCUGCAUUAGCUAGUUGGUAAGGUAACGGCUUACCAAGGCAACGAUGCAUAGCCGACCUGAGAGGGUGAUCGGCCACACUGGAACUGAGACACGGUCCAGACUCCUACGGGAGGCAGCAGUAGGGAAUCUUCCGCAAUGGGCGAAAGCCUGACGGAGCAACGCCGCGUGAGUGAUGAAGGUCUUCGGAUCGUAAAACUCUGUUAUUAGGGAAGAACAUAUGUGUAAGUAACUGUGCACAUCUUGACGGUACCUAAUCAGAAAGCCACGGCUAACUACGUG